This 305-nucleotide ribosomal RNA is filed under the name uncultured bacterium. Its description in RNAcentral is "bacterial SSU rRNA". It matches the Rfam family "Bacterial small subunit ribosomal RNA", at positions 333 to 635 of the family's 1533-position model. The record is from RNAcentral.
UUGCGCCUACGGGAGGCAGCAGUGAGGAAUGUUGGUCAAUGGACGGAAGUCUGAACCAGCCAUGCCGCGUGCAGGAAGACGGCUCUAUGAGUUGUAAACUGCUUUUGUACAAGGGUAAACCUGAAUACGUGUAUUCAGCUGAAAGUACUGUACGAAUAAGGAUCGGCUAAAUCCGUGCCAGCAGCCGCGGUAAUACGGAGGAUCCAAGCGUUAUCCGGAUUUAUUGGGUUUAAAGGGUGCGUAGGCGGAUUGAUAAGUUAGAGGUGAAAUGUCCGAGCUUAACUCGGGAACUGCCUCUAGUACUU